GUCUAAUACGACCAAGCUAAUAUUUGCUUGUUUCUUACACUUGAGGUAUGAUCCGAUCUUAAAGCCGUUGGAUCUUUUCUUGAAGGGUUAAUGAUGACCUUAU
Molecule: unclassified non-coding RNA, 103 nt
Filed under: Pseudodiaptomus poplesia
Lineage: Eukaryota; Metazoa; Arthropoda; Copepoda; Calanoida; Pseudodiaptomidae
Description: trans-spliced leader
Source: RNAcentral